AAAACAAAAUUAAAACGAAGAGCAUACCCCCCAUUGCGUGCAAUCGCUCAUUCUCCAAACGUAAAUACUCAGCAGUUGGUAACUCGGGCGACUCGACUGGGUCCGGGUCUGCUGGUGCUGAUGAAAAGGCCGGGUCAUUCUUCGGGAUAGCCACAGGUGGUGAGGGAUCGGGCUUCGGGUUCUCGUCUUGCCUGACCCGCUUAGGCUUAGACUCCGAUGACUCGAUCUGCUUCAGUUUUGAUUUGAGGGAGGAGAGAAUGAAGGAAUGGUGGGUCGGAAUGCCAGGUGUUGCGUUUAUAAGAGGGUAAAUUUUAUUUUCUAGCAAUUGAAGCUUCACCAGGGAAAGAAGGUCUUUUUCUUGGUGAAUUUGAAUUUUGAUCUGUUGCUCUUUUCUCUGGUUGAAUUAUCUGAUGGCUGCGGUGUAGACUGUGUGAUUCUGGGUUUUGGUUGUUUAUCAAGUUAUGUGUGGUGAAGAAAUCAAAUGUCGUAGAUAAAAAGAUUGUUUCAUGGUUUAGAAAGUGAGGGAAAAUCAUCAGUUUCUAAUACUUUAGGCAUGCGAAGAUGGCAACACUUGCAUGGUGGAAUGAAUAGCCUUCAGCAAAGUGGGACAUUGAAAUAUGUGGGGUUCUCAUUUCCAUGAAAUUGUAAAGUUGGAUUUACAGGGGUCAGGAGAGGGUGAUAGUGAGUGGAAGUGGAUGGCUGUCGUUUUGAUAAUCUUACCUCAGAGAGAGUAAUCGGCAUCUCUUCUCGCUGUCCUUCGGCUCAGAUUGGAACUGGUGGAUUAUGGUUUACAUAGGUUUCUAUUAAUUAAUGAAGCUGAAUCCUUUUGAUUGAUUUCGUUGAUAAAAUCUGUUUUUUUUGUCUGUGUAGUCUGUGUUGAACAAGGGCCUGCACCAAGGGCCUGCACCUAAAAGACAUCUUUCAUCAAACCCAUAGCCUUUCCUUUUUCUGAUCAAUGGGGUAUAUUCACUCUUCAUCCUUCUCCUUGAUUCUGUUCUGAUCUCCUUGGGAGGCUAAUCGCUGCAGUUAAAUUAGUUUGGUAUAUGAACUCCAACAUCAACUUCGUCAGCUGGGUAAUGAACUACAGAUCAGAUUAUUCUGGAGAAAUGAUGUAGCUUUGCUGAAUGGUCAUGGUGGAAUACUCAUUGCGAGCUUGGUUUUGACAAAAAUCUCAACUUUAUAAAGUGGACAGUACCAACUUUGAGGGAAAGGCAUAAGUUGAAAUGCUUUUAAAGACUAUAUAGGAAAAAUAAAAUAGAGAAAUUUUAUCUGAUGGCUGAAGUAAUUUUAGGCCUAAUGUAUACUUGGUUGCGUACCAUUUUAGGAUUAAAAAAAAGUGGAGAAGUUAUAUCUACUGAUGUUCAACUUGAUGAUAUUGGAGUUUUUGUACUAUCAGAAGUGAAGAGAGCUAAUAUCUUCUUUUGCUGAACUCUACAUACAGCUGAGAUCUUUAUACUUUCUACAUUAGUACUGUAAGCAUCUUUAUUAUUAAUUUAUGAAUUUUUAUUGAUGUUCUGUUUCAAAUUUUCAGUGCUCGCACCGAUCGACUUCCUUUCAAAUCUAGGAUGCUUGAAUUAUUGCGCAUAUUCCCUCCAUGCAUUUGUGCUUCUUGGUGUGAAGAAUGAAAAACAUUUUUGAGAGGAAAUCCCGAUUUCCGUGUCUCAGCAUAUCAUCGAGCAAGGAGAGGGCCGGACUUGAGAUUUGAAGACCUGAUGCGAGUUCUUGAGAUUUGAAGACUUGAGGCGAGUUCGAAGAAUGGUAAUGGUGCCCCGACGAAUAUAUAUAUUGUGCCACAUAUAGCUUGUUAAUUAGUUAAUCCCA
Molecule: long non-coding RNA, 1821 nt
Organism: Argentina anserina (silverweed cinquefoil)
Lineage: Eukaryota; Viridiplantae; Streptophyta; Magnoliopsida; Rosales; Rosaceae
Exons: 9
Source: RefSeq, a predicted model, not a curated record